Long non-coding RNA from Ictalurus punctatus (channel catfish), 1968 nucleotides. RefSeq lists it as uncharacterized. Lineage: Eukaryota; Metazoa; Chordata; Actinopteri; Siluriformes; Ictaluridae. The transcript is spliced from 3 exons. The record is from RefSeq and is a predicted model, not a curated record.
UUAAUAUUUUCCUCUCCUUUCUUCUUGCAGGCGUUCGCUACUUUUCAGCUCCGUGCCUAACUAAAAUAGCGUGUCUCCAUUACAAGCAGCGGUGUGAAACUUUUGGAUAAUGUCCUUCGUGAUCCUUUGUUGACCCUACUCUGCCUCAUUCUCCUGGAAUGCCUCCCUACCUCACAUUACCUCCUGGGGAUCUAUCCACCGCAAAUAAACAUUUUCUUCCUUUCAUCCUUUCUUUCUCCUUUUUUCCCUGCCCAUGACCUGGAGACUUGAUGCUUCCAAAUAAGGCAUUUGACAUUAUGCUGAAUUCCAUCUCUCAGCAGUUGCCUAUCGUCAAGCUGUAGAAGUUGGCGGUGUUUGUAAGUGUCCGGGUGAUGGAGAGGGCUGAUAUUUGCAGUUGUAGUACACCACAGUAAUCCCCUCACAUUCAUUGUAAACUUUUUUCAGUUUGUUUUGUUUUUGUGUUUGCCAUGCUAAUGGAUGAAAUGUCUUCUCUCACACUUCUCAGUUAAAACAGAUUGGUGGGUUAAGAAAGACAAACUUUUAGGCCAGCCUGACCCAGAAUGACAUUUCUCGCUCUGUGAAAAACAUCUGAGGGAUGAAAUAAAACAGUCUAGACAGAGGCCGGAGACAGGGCUGAGAAGAUGCAAGAGGCGAUAUGCGCUGUAUGGUUUGUAAAACAUCUAUCAGGGUCAUUUGAGGUGAAAAACUCUCCAUAGUUAGCCAAAGGAGAACCCAGCUGACCCUUUUCAUCAAGCACAUGACCCUCGAUGCAGAUGUCAGCAUGGACUUUUCCUGCCCUCGCAAAUCUCUCUUCUCCACUCACAUGGGCCCAUGUGCAAACAGCAGAUCUGUUCAUCACGCCACCACUCCUCCUGGCCCCUUCUUUCUCUUGGACUCUCUGAACCGCCUGAGCUGAGAACUAGGUCACGGAGAGGGAAUCUGGCCUUGAAAGCACACAUAUGCUUGCUACAAAGCUGCAGUUCCACAGCGGCGGUUGUUUUUGAAGAGAAGCUGGUUUAAGGAUGUGAGAGAUGCUCAGAGAACUCAGGGCUGAUGGGCCACACUGUCCACACCCUGCCGCCUGGUCUGAGUGGCCUUCCCUCACAAUGAGAGUAAGCACAGCUGCACAAGCUGGCCCAACGCCAACCAGAGCCUGGGUACGCCAGCGCUCAGAGUACUGCAUAGUGUCUGUGUCUCAAGAGAAGAGGUUUUCACUGCGUCAAGAGAUAGUAUUUAAGUAGUAAGAUUUUUCAAAACAUUCACUUAUUCCUUUGACUGUAACCCUAUAACUCAGGUUAUAAAUUUAUGAUGAUGAGCAUCAAGUAUGGUUUGAGCAUUUGCCAUUGCACCAAAAGCUGAGGAAUUGGAAUUGCAUUUGGCUGGCUUUUUAUAUUAUUAUUCAUUAUUGGGAAUCUAAUGAUGCAUACUCAUAACCAGCAAAGAACAUUCAUUACGAAAGAAUUGAGUAAGUAGAGUAAAAAAUAUCAUGGAACUGAGGUGUCCUCUGAUGGGUAAUCCACUUCUCCCCAUCAGCAUACAGAUGCGCAUACUGUUGUUGUUCCUUUUGGAUUUUCUUUCCCCCAGACAUUUGAAGAAACCAAUCAGGAAGGCAGCAAUGUGCAACCCAAGGCAAAUGAGGAACAUGGCCUCCCCAGACACACAAUUCCAAGAACCAAAGCAGCAGGGCGCAUGCACAGGACUUGUCUUCCUCUGAGAUGACCCCAACUCGUGUAGCGGGCCAAGCGUCCAACUGACUGCCAGAGGCAAACUUCAGGCCCCCUUCAACUUAUCCUGGUUAUUUAUUUUUCCCUCAAACAAUUCAGUUGGCCCCAUGCACAAGUAGAGGAAAUCAGUGAAUGCUUUUCUUAGUGCAUGUGUGUGAGUGUGUGUGUGUGUGUGUGUGUGUGUGUGUGUGUGUGUGUGUGUGUGUGUGUGUGUGUGUGUGUGUGUGUGUGUGUGUGCAUAAAA